CCCUUAGAUGUCCUGGGCCGCACGCGCGCUACACUGACAUGUUCAACAAGUUUCUCCUAGUUCGACAGGACUGGGAAAUCUUUGAACGCAUGUCGUGAUAGGGAUAGAUCAUUGCAAUUAUUGAUCUUGAACGAGGAAUUCCUAGUAAACGCGAGUCAUCAGCUCGCAUUGAUUACGCCCCUGCCCUUUGUACACACCGCCCGUCGCACCUACCGAUUGAAUGUUUCGGUGAAGAUUCCGGAUAGGACUGAUUUGAUUUAUUUCAUUUCUGACCUAAAAGCUAUCUAAACCUCAACAUUUAGGGGAAGGUGAAGUCGUAACA
Molecule: ribosomal RNA, 322 nt
Filed under: uncultured eukaryote
Lineage: Eukaryota
Description: partial 18S ribosomal RNA
Rfam family: Eukaryotic small subunit ribosomal RNA
Source: RNAcentral